CCGGAAGUUCAACGCCCCCGCAUGGCCAAAUACCUGAAAAUCUGCGCAUGAUAGGACUAAGAAAACAUAUGGAUCUAGAUUUUAACUUCUUAAUUAUAGAAGAUUCUGUCCUGUGUCUCUUUGUGAUCAAAACUAUGGUUUAACCUAAUAUAUUUCAACCUACUCUCAUGCUCCAUUUAUUUCACAAAAAAUAUUUUCCUUAUUUUUCGGUGUUUGGUUCUCUUAAAGAAAAUGAGUCAAUGUAAAAUAUUUUCCUACAAAAAGUUAAAUUCAAGAAGAUGAUUUCCUAUUUGAAACAAUUGGAAAAUAUUUUCCAAAAUAUGACUAAAUACAUUUGGACUCAAACUCUGCACCUGGGCAUGGAAACCUCAGCCGGUCUCCAAUAGUCGAGCCUGGGUCAUCGAGGCUAGCUUUAGGCCUAGUCCCCCAGCGUCCGUGUCCAAGUCCAUUGAGGCCAAGCCCAAACCACCGGUACCCAUACCCAAUGCUUCAGCACUCGAGCUCAAAUCUAUAAAGGUCGUGUUUGGGUCCCCGACACUCAAGCUUUGGUCAUGACCCUUAGGCGCAAGUCCCCAAAGGCCAUGCGCGGUCCUUGGUGCUCAAGAAACGUUUGUUUUUUAUAAAAAUAUUUUAAAAAAUUCGAAUUUUUAAUUUUUUUUCAAUUUUUAAAUUAUUUUUAAUUUGAUAUAUUCAUUUCUUUUAUUUUUCUUUUCUUUGCUUCUACCUUGGUUGGUUGUGGCUACAACCAAUGACCAGCUACGGGUGAGCUCAAGCUCGGUAAGCUUUGAGCUUCUCGAUCUGACAAGGCUUGAGCUUUGCGAUCAUCUCUGUAGCAGCAACCAGCCAAGAAAGAAGAAACAUAAAAGAAAAGAAUAUAUAAAAUUAAAAGUAAUUAAGGAAUACAAUUUUUUGAUGAUUUUCCUUAUCAUAUUUUACUUACUAAAUAAUGAAAAAAUAUUUUUCGGGUCUUUUUCAGGUUUCCGUAAAGACUUACUGAAAAAUAUUUUUUAGAAAUGAUGCAUUUCACGUCCGACAAACAGAUCAUAAUCUGCUUUAGGUCGUAGAGUUGCAGUAAUUGACUUUAGCGAUCAAAGGUCUUCUUUAAAAUAUUGUCGGCAAGGGGCGGGGGGCGCCGACAGACCAACAGGAAGGUAUGGUUCCUGUUACAAUAGUUUUUUAUACAUCUAUUGACCGCACUCCUUCCUACUUCCUAGGUUUUUUUUUUUUUUUUUUUUAAAUACUUCCUAGGUUGAUCAUCUGACUUCAACCUGGGGAGGCCCGUCUGUCAUUAUUGCAUUAAAAAACUCACACUUUCAUUGUCAAAGAAAACCGGAAAUAAAAAUUUUGCAAACGUCAAAUGUCAAGCUCGAGCAAUAACUACUCUGCACCACCCACAAUCGAAAGUGCUGAAAUUACUUCGCAUGCUUUUACUUUAGUUGUUAUCGGGGCGGGGAGGGGCGACCAAUGCCCAGCGAUCUUCCAUGAGUAUUAUCGUAAGGAUUCCACCCCAACCAAUGAAUAUUCAACUUGAGAAAUAAGCAUCCAAGUAACAUCGACAUACAAUAUAGACAUGUGGCACGCCGACACGUCAUUUCUUAAAAAUAAAAAAUUCCAACACGUUAUAAUACGCCGUAUAUUAAAUAUAUACUUUUAUUUUUAAUUAAUUUAAUUCAAAUUUACAAUUAAAUAAAUUAUAAUAAAAGAGCCUACAAUGAAUUUGUAAUAAUAAUAUAAAUGAAUAUAUUCAUAGGAAAUUCGAAAGACAAUUUCAUAAUUAAUGCAUAUGCAUAUUUGGAAACAUAUUUUUAACUGUAACAUAAGUUUUGAUGAAACUAAUGACUAAUAGGAAAUUAUAAUUAAUUUAUUUAAAUAAACUUAUGACCUUUUAUAAUUAUCAAAAUUUAUUAUUUUUCAAAAUCACUUUGUAACGUCUUCUAUAUAUUUUUCUGUUAAAAAAAUGCAAACCCGUGGGAGGUACACCCCAAACCCCAUGCCCAAAUUUAUUUUACUCUCUUAUUUCUUUGGCUCAGUUCUUCCCCACUUCCCCUCCCCCCUCUCUUAUUUCUUUGGCUCAGUUCUUCCCCCCUUCCCCGCCUCACUCCCAAGAAAAAAAGAAAAAAAAACACCCGUCAUACUUCGCUUUAUUAAAAGUUCAAGUCACCCUCUCAUCCACCCACCCUGCAAAAGGAAAACAUCACGCCAAGGUCCCAUCAAAAUCCCAUUUUUAUUUUAUUUUUUAUUUAGUUUCCUCCCUCAAAAAUCUUACCUACCGCCUCCUCCUCCUCCUAUUUGCACGACCCUCUUCCUCUCAAUCUCUGCCCUCUCUCGGUCGCCUCAUUAGCCAUCAUAAUCACUCGCCUCCAAUGCUUCCUCUUUCGCAGCCGUAGCCUUGUCGCCAAUCCUCCAUUGCGGCAUCGUAGUUGCGACCCUCUGGGUCGCCUCAGUCUUUACUCUUCCUCUAACCCUCCCUUGCCAUCGCUCCGGGCCUUGCCUCUAUUCUCUCGCCCUCGCCUCCUCCUUCCAUCAUCUUCUUCAACGAUUCUCCCUACCGGACACGAGUGUCCGAGCGUAUUGAAACGUGUCAAACACGUUGACCUGACACAUGUCAGACACAACAUGAAAGUGCUUUGCACCAACCGCGAUCCAAAACUCUAAGGUCAGAGAGCCCAUAACCACAAUUCCAUUGAUUCGCCCAUGAAGUGAAUAAUCUCGUGAAAGACAAAUAAAUCCUUUACAACUAAGCCAACCACUCUGGUUGUCCUGCCUCUGCAUGCUGACGAUUCUACGACGAGGAUUCUUCAUUAAACUUCCUAGGAAAAGGGUUUUUCGGUCAUUGGGUAUUAUUCACGUUAAAGUCACCUAGUAAUCAGCACAAAGAAAGAAGCUUGAAAGCGUUAAAAAAAAAAAAAAGGGACGGCUUUAAGGCUCCAAUAAUAGCAAAUCGGAAUCGGUAAUUGGCAUUAUUGCUAUUCUAAUACAUGAUCUGAUCUGCUAUAUUUAGCUUAAACCCUGACCAGUCAACCGGUGUCAAGGCAGACAUCAUUAUUACGUGGAUCAAGACGCAAAUAAUGAAAUAACAGGGGAGGAAAAAGAGUUCUUGACGCAGUCUCAUUCUCAAGUAGUUGAUAACGCACCAACUCAAGAUUAAGUCGCAAGAUUCAAAUUACGGCACGAAACCUCUCUGUCUGUCUAUAUAUAGAUCCUCUUGUUGCUCUAUUCAUCGCCUCCCAGAAGUAACAUAAGCUCUCCCGUAAUCCUCACAUCACAUGGCGAAGAGCAAGGUCCUCGUCGUUGGCGGCACUGGCUACGUCGGGCGGAGGCUCGUGCGGGCGAGCCUGGACCAGGGCCACCCCACGUACGUCCUCCAGCGUCCGGAGACCGGCCUCGACAUUGAGAAGCUCCAGACGCUACUGCGCUUCAAGAGGCGUGGCGCCCAACUCGUCGAGGCCUCGUUCUCAGACCUGAGGAGCCUCGUCGACGCUGUGAGGCGGGUCGAUGUCGUCGUCUGUGCCAUGUCGGGGGUCCACUUCCGGAGCCACAACAUCCUGAUGCAGCUCAAGCUCGUGGAGGCCAUCAAAGAAGCUGGAAAUGUCAAGGUAAUCAGCGUAACGCAAACUCAUUUUUUUCUCUUUUUAGAGCGGUCUUUAUUGAGUUGCUACUAUGCAUUAAUUCCUUUCAUUCUGUUCGGUUCGAAGUUCUUCUUAGGGUUUUAGAGAGUAUUAUGCACUUCAUAUGAUGCUCAAUUUCAGAGCAAGUACCUAUAUCUGUGGUGUGCCUAGUAUUAGUAAUACAGCUUCUCGUGCUACUAGAUGUAAAAUAAUUUAUCUAAGAUCCGUCUUCGGAGUAAUCGAGAUAGGGAAUCUGUGUCUUGAAAAAGAAAUCAAGAUUUUACAUAACAACAAAAAUAUAUAUCUGUCUAAAAUUUUAUUGAUAGCAACAAAAAUAUUUCAAGAUUUUAUUGAUAACAUAACUCAGUGAGUAACAAAAAUUCUUUUUUUUUUCCAUAUAAAUCUGGAGGUAUUUGUUGAAAUAUUCUUUUUACCCUUAGAGUAGGAAAAAAAAUAUUUGUCUCAUUUUUCACUUAUGAUAGGACUUUCUUCACUUAUUUUUCUUAUUCUUUUCUUUCUAGCCCUUAUACACAUGUUUGACUUGGACAUCAAUCCGAUGUCCACACCGUAGAUAGCAAAAUAUGUCGAGAAAGUCAAAAGAGUAGGAGAAAUGUUACAAUACUUUUUGAGCUUGUAGAUAUUCAUACAGGAGAAAUAGAAUAAACAACGCUAAUAUAAAAGAAGAUUUUGCACCGGCAAUCUUAUUUACUUUUGAUUUGAGGGCUUUGAUCAUUCACUCUUGUAGUAUCCAUCAAAUCAAAAGUGAACAAGAUCACUUAAGGAAAAUAAAUUACAUUGAGGCAUAAGUUAUAAUUACCGAUUUGAAUAUUUACAUGGUAUUGCAAAUGACGGUAUAUAUGCGCACAUUACAUGAUUAUCACAAUUGGAGGGUCCAAGAGGGUGAAGAAUUGAUUGUUCGCACCACUUAGUGCAAAAAUCUAAACAAUUAUUUAGCUUAUAAGGAAAGAGCAUAUAUGUGUGUCUAUAUAUAUGUGUGUGUGUUCAUAUUGACAAGACUAUCUCCUUUACGCAAUUACUAGAUGAUCAUUUCAUUACUUGAUCCUGUCGUCAUCCAUUUAUCUAGAUGGUUCAAAACGGCUUAGCUAAAGUCAACAUUGACCAAUUUGACAUGCUGCUUUGUCGGCUCGAUCAUUUGAAAUAUUCGAAGAUUAAGAAAACGAACGGCCGGUCGCCCCCCACCUCAACAGAACCGUUGAAAAUUUCUAAAAGUUCGCUUUUGAUAAAAGGCAUAAAAAGUUCAGAAUAUUUCGAAUCAAAUAUAAUUUAUAUUUAAGAGUGAGAUUUUGAGGAAGUUAAAAUUAAAGUAGAAGUUCGUUCCAAAUAAAUUAAAAUUAGGUGGAUUUCGUUAUUGGAAAAAAAUAAUAGAGUUGCAAAUUUAUAAAAUGUCAAACAUAUAUUCACAUUCGAUCGUUUACAUAGUUUCUCCGGAUAUAACAUAAUCUUGAAUCAAAUUUCUAGCAUAGUUUUGGAGCAUAGUACGUUAUGUUUAUGUCGACAAUCAUAUAAUCAUCUAUAGUCGCAGCAUCCCAUUGUAUUAACCCUCAAAUUGCUGAUCUUUGAGUUAUGUUAUUCUGAAAUUUUUUUGAAAAAACAUGUGAUGCGACCUCAAUAUGUCACUAUUUCCUAAUUUGGUGUCCGAACAAGCAAGCGUUCCAACCAGAAAAGGCCGAAGGCCAAACAUGACUUGAAUUGUCCAUCUUAUAUUAUAUAAUAGACAAAUAAAUAAAUAGGUACAAACGUAACUUUCCGCCGCCUCCAUAAAUUUUUCUUUGCAUUUUUUGCCGAUUAUGUGAAAAAGCUAUUUUCGGCCGACCAUAUUUUAGGCGCAAAUAGGUGCCGACAGGAAGACAUGAUGAUUGAUUAAGGUGAGGAUGAUCCAGAUAUGCCCACCGACUCUUUGUUCGGUGGAGAAUUUCUUGCAACUGAACCGACAGGGCCAACCCAACAGUAUUUUAAGCAGACCAUAUCGAAUUUGGUUAUAUGAUAAUGUCAGAAACUACAAAUGCGUGCCUUUUGAACUACUCCCAUUGGUGGGUGGGUGCUCUUCUUUUCUAGAUAAGAAUUUAAUUUGAAGAUAAAGGAGGGCUGCCACGAAUUAUGAUGGUUGUUGUCUUUGGAAAAGAACUUGUGCCGUGCAUGUUCAUUUGACUGAUUGCGCCUUUUCGUUUGCUCGAUCUAACAACCACCUGGAUUUUUGUCCAGCUUUAUUCUUGUUUCAUGAUAAAAGUGAAGGAAUUGUGCUAUGAAGUCUCUGUGGGACAAGUUUCUUCAUUUCUUGUCCCUCCUAAAUAAUUUUUUUUAGCUUGUUGUGCUUUUGAUUUUUGUUUAAAUUGCAUUCUUCUAACUUCAGUAUGUUCUGAAAUUGGGAUAAAUACUAUCUUAUUUCUUUCAGUUUGUCAGGUUAAUAUUUCAUGUUUUUUUUUUUUUGUAAUAGAUUCAACUCUAAUUUUGGCUAUGAUUUUUGUUGUAUUUCUAGUUCUAAUUGUUAGAAAAAUUGUACCAAACUCCCCCCCCCCCAAAAAAAAAAAGAUUAUGAGGAUAGUAGACAUUUAUCCAUAAAUUUUCAACCAUUACACGUUAUCUUCUUAACCUUUCUUUUAUUAAAAUCGUUAACCCGUUAUUAUACGUGUUUUUCAAGGAGUAAAUUCGUACUUUCAUCUCUCUCUUUUUUAUGAAAAUACUCUUUCACCCUUGAUUUUUGUAAAAAGAUAAAAAGUGAAGAAAAUGGAGAAAGAUUAAUUAAAUAAAAAAUUAAUAAAAAGUAACACAAUUAAGUAUAAAGGAAAAAGGCUCAAUAAAAAAUGGCGAAGUGAAAAAAAUUGCAUAUUCUUUAUGUUUUAAAUGUUGAUGCAAAAAAUUGAUUACUCAAUAAAAAUACUUUAAACCCCACCUUAGUUUGAGAUAAUCAUUUCCCUGUAUGAGUUGAGGACAUCAUUUAUUUUUAUCCCUUUUGACUAACAAAUUUUUAUUAUUGACCUUUUUUUCUUUUUGAGGCACUUCCAUUUUUUUAUUUAAUUUGGUUGAUGUUUUUCUUAAAAUACCUUAUUCAAUUUUAUUAAAGCUGCUACAUUUACCAAGUUUUGACAAGUUCUUAUUGUUUAAUAUUAUUGAUAUUUAUUGUUUCUAUUAUAUUUAGUUGAUUUAGUUUUCUUUCAUUUUCUAUAUUUUUAUUCUUUUGCAGCAAUCAAGAGUAAAAGAGAAAUUUCCUUAAAAAAUGAUAUGAGAAUUUUACUCCUCAAACAUGUGCAUUGCACAUGCACGCGGAAAAAUAACUCAGGGUUUAUGGCUCUAACAAAAUUAAAAACCUACCGUCUAACACUUGAAAGUUGAAGGGCAAGCGUGCACUACCCUUAAAAUUUUAUGGAGAGUUUUGCAUGAUUUCUCCUAAUUGUUAACAAUUUUGUAUAUUUUAUUAUGCUUACAUUGCUUGAGGUAAUUUUCCCUAUCCUUCUUAUUUCUUCUGUUUCACCAUAAAACUCGAUUUACUUUUUCUAGUUUAUGUUUUCAGUACGGCUUGUCUUAUAUCAUACAUUAUGCAAUAAGAAAUUGCAUCUGCAGAAUCAUGUUCGGGUGUAGACUCAAAAUCUUGUCCAUUCAUCUUGUCUUUGCCAUAAUCUUUUUGGUUGAACUUGAACUGAACACUUGCUCUCCUGCAGUUUGCAAAAUGGAAAGUUCAAGUACAGAAGUUAUCAUCUUCGAACUAUACUAACUUUUUUUAGAUAGAAAGAUAGAUUAUACAUUCCGUUGAGUGAGCGUAUAAAGCAAUGAAAGUGUAUUCGUGAAGAAAUUCUUACACUGAUUUUCUAUUAUAAAUGCAUUAGGAUAAACGAAAAUUUGCCCCUCUAACUUGUGUUGAUCUUCUCAUUCAAUUCUCCAUUUGAGCAGUGGAUUCCGUAACUCACUCAAUUUGUGCAAUCAAAUCUUCUUAUUUCUUGACAUUCGGACAUGACUCUGCUAAGAAAGCUAUUUAUCUUAUGUCAUUACCAGGGGUGUGCAUAUCUUUCUCUCUCUCCCGAGCUCUUUCUUUUCUUUUUUCCAGUUUUGCUAAUGUACAGUCACGUCGACAUCGUGUCAAAGAAUCGUCAUGCAACAAAUACUAAUGAGAUUUUGAAUGUUUGCUAAUUCUUUGUAGCGGUUUUUGCCGUCAGAGUUCGGAAUGGACCCGGCCCUCAUGGGUCAUGCAAUUGAGCCGGGAAGGGUCACGUUCGAUGAGAAAAUGGAGGUGAGAAAAGCAAUCGAGGAAGCCAAGAUCCCCUUCACAUACAUCUCGGCCAACUGCUUUGCCGGUUAUUUUGUGGGCAAUCUCUCCCAAAUGUCGAGUCUCACUCCUCCAAAAGACACUGUAUAUCUCUAUGGAGAUGGCAACGUCAAAGGUAUGUGAGGUGCAUAAACCUACUUUAGCCGUAAUAACAAAGGUUAUAUAUUAGAGAAAAGAUCUUCUCUAACCAUGCUUCUGAUUAGUGGGUUACAACCAUAUGAUUUUCAUAUUUUAUAACCCACCAAUCAAAAGAUUGGUUGGAGCAAAUUUCCUCCAACUAGAGACGGAGAAAACCAUGUUCACCAUUUAGAAUACCAGCAUGGUAACAUUUUCAAUAAACUUAUGAAAAAAGGGUUGACUUAGUGAUAAAAUAAUCGGAACAUGGACCUUCAGAAAUUGUAGUCUCAUGUUCGAACUCUACUCGACGCAACGAUCCCUUAAACCUGACAUAAGUCCCAAAUGCUACCAUGUGAAAUGAUAAAUCAUGUCAAAGUAGGUCUUUUAUCUAUGUCAGUUUGGACUUUGAGGGAGUUAUAAAUUUUAUUAUAUAUAAGGAUUCAAUAUUUCGGCAUUAUUUUGUUAGGUGAGACUCUGUCAUAUUUUAAUGUGUUUUUAUCUCACGCCAAUAAUGAGGUAAGCGCUUACGUAAUCAACCAAUAUCAUCCUAGUCGUAUCCUUGAACAUCUUUAUUAGAUUACUCAAGUACUCGAUCAGAAGGGCAAUCACUAGCUCUGCAUAUCUAGUCUAAAUCACGACUAGAUAAAAUAUUCCGAGUGAUCACAAAAUCUAUCAAGUUCAACAACCUUAGCUUGGUUAAGUCAUUUAGCCAAGUUCAACACUUCUUUUUGGUAAUUAAGACACGAAUAUGGGCGAAUAUGUAUGUGGAUAAGUCAUAAAAGUGUUCGAUACUGCAUUACUGUUGCAGCUGUUUUUCUCGAUGAAGAUGAUAUCACAACAUAUGCAAUUAAAACGAUCGAUGAUCCGAGAACGCUGAACAAGACAGUCUACCUAAGGCCACCAGAGAACAUUCUGUCCCAAAGACAACUGGUGGAGACGUGGGAGAAGCUCAGUGGAAAGACCCUGGAGAAGAGAAGCAUUUCUGCAGAAGACUUCCUUGCCUCCAUGAAAGGUACUUAUCUGAUUUAUUGUUUCGUUAGAUGACAUGUACUUUUGUAGAAUUUGUGUUGGCAUAUCCUUAGGUUCAAUGACAACUUAAACAAUGCGACGGUGAUCAUGUUUUUGAACGCUGACUGGAAAAUCUAAUAAAAACCCUUUUGUAUAUUUACCAUCAAGAGUGACCUGCUACAUAAUUACUUGCUACAAUAGCUUCAGAUCUAUGGUAGACCAUAUUUAGAUGAUAUUAAGCUAUCCUUCUGUUUCAGGAUUGGAUUAUGCGCAGCAAGUGGGAGUGGGGCAUUUCUACCACAUAUUCUAUGAAGGCUGUUUGACAAACUUUGAAAUUGGGGAAGAUGCAGAAGAAGCUUCCCAGCUUUAUCCUGAAGUUCAAUACACCCGCAUGAAUGAAUACCUGAAGAUUUUUGCAUGAUCGUACUAAGAACCAUUUGUACCACUCGGAGUUUGCUCUCGCUAUCCAAAUAAAAAUCUUGAGUUUCUCUAUCAUGAUUCUAUCAUUUCUGCGAUUACAAAUUGGUCUAAGCCGAGAUGUGUGAUCAAUGACUGCGCUCUCUUCGAACUCAGCAGAAAACAAAAACCAGCUCAGAGUAUUCCUACAAUGGUCCUAGCUAAGGAUUUCUGGGUAAUUCAAAAGCUAUUUUAUGUAAUUAGUGACAAUAAGAUAACUCAGGCAUAUGGGGAUUCACGAGAAGAAUAGGCUUGAUCAUUUCUCACAACUCAACUUAAAAUUUCAGGUAUUGCCAAUAAGCCAUCUCUUUUGUCAUAAUACAACUCCCAGUCAUUUGAAAAUAUUACAGUUACAUAGAAGCAGCAGUUCACGUAUUCCAAGUCUGUCAUCCCAAUAGUGUUCCCACUAUGCAUUUGUUAGGAACCCCUCUUUAGUCCUUCCCUACUUAUUGGCAUCUGUUGGAAAUUUGUCACGCUCCCAACCCCGAGCGCAUGCCCAUCCCUCUCUGGUCGAUAAAAUUUUGCGACUUCCCAGAACAAGUCGCCAACCCAUUGAUUUUUAAGCACAUGCGGAAGCAAAAAUAAAUCCCCUGACAAUAACCAUCUCAGGAUAGGAAAGUAGGAUACGAAUUCACGAAACAAACAUGCUUUUAUAUAUACAGUGAGUCAUGUACAAAAGUCUAUGACCAAAAGACUACAAAAGACUAGCCUUCCAAAAGAAGCGGUCAGUUAAGCGGUCCUAACUGACCUACACUUCCGAUCACCUCCUCUCAGCUCCAGGUCCUCCACUCGACGACCCUAAAAAUAUUGUCCCACAACAGGGUGAGAUAAAAUCUUAGCGAGUCUAAGCUCUAAACCCCAAUUAGGAGGGAAAUACACCUAGAAGCGUCCUAACCACGCAAUCAUACAAUUAGCAUAGAGAACUUACUUCGCCUCAGUUCCACCCUGCAGGUCAGCACAGUUCAUAUACAUUAUGUAUAGAAUCGAUACAUCCAGCAAUUGAAACGCAUCACUCAACUCAAUAAAUUACAAGGGUCCAGAUUAUAGGGCAAAUCGUUAUGACACAUCCCAUACCAUGUCACAUAAUUUUGUCCCAUAAUCCAGCGCAUCAAACUCAACCAUCAUGCAUUCCAAUUGUUAAUUACACCCCUCAAGGGUACAGCCAACUCUAUUGGCGAUCUUCUGGCAUUGCCAAGCGUUGUCUCACCCCCAUUGAGCACGGUUACGUCUCUCUCAGAGACGACUUCUCCGAAGGGGCGUAGGUCCAGAAUCUACUGCGACUCGAAUACAACCUACUCACAAGUUCGGUGUCUUCUGGCAUAGCCAGGCUUCGUCUCCCACCAUGAGCACAGCGACGUCUCUCAAUUAGACGGCUUCCUCGAAGGGGCGUAGGUCCAAAAUCUACUGCGACCCGAGUCCCAAUGAAUGGGUAACAUCCGGCUUAACAAUCCAUGAUGGUUUCUCUUAACCAACAUACGACCACUCAAUCUGGCCCAGGACACUGUGCAUUGCACUCAAAUGCCUCCAUUAAAUAGUGAUCCUGGCCUAUUUUCUUCGUAUUAAAAACGUCCCGAAAAUAGUCGUGUGUGGGUACACGGUCAAUUUGAACCAGAAGACUGAUACCUACCGUUUUCAAACCCCACUAUUUGAUAUAGUACUUAAAAUCCAUUUUCGGUGUUAAAACCCGACACCCAGAAUUUUCUAAAUAAAUAUCAAAAUCCACAAAUUUUGGAAUUAAAUACUCAAAAUUCCAAUCAACACUCAAUUUGCACAACUAACACUCAAUUGCAGAAAUGAACCACGCCAUUACAAUCAGCACGAAAUUCCGGCCACCGACUAUUCCGGCCUAAAUUCUGGAAAAAUAAUUAAUAAAUAAUUAUUUCGAAAAUUAAUUAAUUAAUUCAAUUUAAUUUCUAAAAAUACUAACCUUGGCCAAAAUUAUUAAAUUAAAUACCAAUACAGACCCGGAAAAUUCCCUAACCCUUCUAGAUAAAUAGUACAAUUUAUUUAGGCCUUAGCUAAACCAUGCUAACCACCUAACAUGCUCAAUUAAAUAAUUAAAUUUCUAAUUUAAUCUAACUAACCACCUAAUUCCUAAUAAAAUAAAUCUAAACACCCCUUAAACGUCAUUAGCCUACUAAGCAGAGUUUAGAGUAUAAACUCACCGGCUAAUUGCGGAAACCGAUCCACCGUGACGACGACGCGAUAGCGGCCGAAAUCAAAAUUUUCGGCGGCGUCGACAAACUUGGGCUGGGCCUAAACUUGGCCCAACACAACUCAGCAAGGCUGAAUUUCGGUCUUGGGCUUCUGCAGGGCUACUGGUCGCGAGCUUGGGCUUUCUUCGCAGGCCCAAAAUGGGCUGAACUUUAAAUGGGCUAAAACCAACUGAACUUGGGCCUGAGCUUGGGCUUCAAAAUCUGCUGGAGAUGGGCUUAAAAUCAUUGUGCUAAAGAUGGGCUUGUGGAUGAAUUCGUGGGCUGAUGAUGCGGGCUGGAUACGGGCCCAACUGCUGACAAAAUUCGCUAGCUUCGUGGACAAUGAUGCUGCCUUGCUUGGACUUCGCUGGCACACGAGGAAAGCAGCUACUGGUGGUAAAGAUGAAGACACGAGGCAGAAGGAGCUGGACGUUGGCCGCGUGGAGAGGGGAUCGCACGAUGAAGCUGCUGGAUUAAAUUUCGAUGGACUCCUCUGUUUGCGCAAAUAAGUGGAGAUUGGCGGUCAUCACACCUGCUGGAGUUGACCUCGAUGGAUUGAAGACACGAGGAGGGGAUGCGGAUCUUCGGGGCAGCUGCUUCGGACGUGUGGCCGUAGAUGGAGCAGCUUCGUUGGGUCUUCAAUUCGGCUGAAGAAGACCACGCGGGCAGUUGGCUGGCAUCCACAAAUUUGCCGACAGCACGGAGUUGGGCUGUGCGAUGCAGACGUGAGGUUUCGGUGGAGGUUUAGGUCAACACCGGCUUCAAUUGUUGACUGAAGAAGGUGGAGACUCGGACGUGUGGGCGCUGGUCUUCGUGAGGGAGAGAGGGACGCUCGGUGAGUGGAGAUGUGGGCGAGUGAUUGUGGUUCGGUCGGUGGGGACAGCAAGAGAGGCAACAGGGACUUGGUGAUUGAUGAAAAAUAAAGGGAAAAUGAAAGCAAGGUAGGAGCCAACGGAGAGGGAGAGAGAAAUGGUCGAGCAGGAAGAAGAUGAUGAAGACCGAAGGGGAAAGGAGCGUAUGGGAGAAGCUUGAGCGAGAGAAAGCCAAAAUAUCCAAUUAAAUAUCUCACAUUCAUCAUUGUUUGGUCCCACUAGGCCUUCAACAUUAUCUUCAUAGUCUCCUAAUACUUUCUAGCUCAAUUUUUCACUAAUUAAACCCAAAAGAUGCCAAAAUGCAGCCUUCUCUCUUUGAUCCGAAUUUUACUCUUUGGUCUCCAAUUUCUUUAACAAUUUUCCCAAAUUGAACGUCAAAUUUUGAUGUAGAAAAGCCCACAUAAUUUCUACAAGUCUCCUUCGUCAUAUAGCUCAGUUUGCAAGUUGAAAAUCUCUUCAAUUCGGCCAAUCCGAAUUUCUGUUAUUUUUCCACGACGUCCGAAUCGAUAUUUCGUAAAAACCUCUGAAUCUCUGAAAAUUCUUCGGAGAAUGAGUCGACGUUCCUCAAAUGGCUCGUGACACCACAGAACUUUCAAUUUCUGAAAUCUGGUUCAAAUUCGCGGUUAAUUUCACUCCGACAUACUUUUAGCGUGACCUAGUCUAUCGGGUAGCUUUUAGGAAUUUUUAGUGCAAUUGGCCCGUGAUCGAUUUAUCUCGAGUCACAUUUUAUAUCUUCGACACAUUAGCGACUCUCGAUUGUCAUGAAAUCUCAAUGUAUCAAUUACGGGCACCGGGUACCAAAACGAUAGAAAAAUCGGUCUAGUGCCGAUCGACGAGUAUUUUGCAAUCAGGUGGAAUCACCCACACUCUGAUCACAUAUCUCAGUCAAGUCGACCUAUCUCCAGUCUCUGAUCGAUUUCGACAGUGCCGUAAUGACCAUUGCAAAUCAACACAGUCGAGUAGUCAAUUCCUGGUCGAAUUCUCAAGUCUAUUGCAUUUAGAUUCUUUAAUUGCUUCCUCAGAUAAUCCAGUUAUUUCAUGAGUGAUCAGCUCAGAGAAUAUCACUAUCGGCGCAUCGACGAAAGGCCCGAUUUAUUUAAUCGAAAACGAAUUCUGAAAAUUUAGGAUGUCACAAAAUUGGUGAUUCAUUUUCAACAAAAUCUAGAAACUACUAAUAUUCACGUGGGAAUUGGAGAAGAUUCAAGUGGGAAACUUUGGACAAAAGUCAAGAAUAGCAGCUGAAGGAGAACAAACUAGAGAAGUCUCGUGCAUGGGAAAUCUUGAAAGAAAAGUCAACAAAAGCUGCUGAGAUUAGAAAAAUGAAGAAAAAUGGAGAAGCCACCAAAAGAUCCGAAGAAGCCGCACGAGCAGGAGAUAAAGAAGCAAGUUUGUAAUUUUAUAUUAAUUUUUUGUACAAAGUUGGUUGUGUAUGGCGGUGAAUUCACGCCUAUAAAUAGGCUUGUAAUUGAUCAUUUGAGGGCGCGUGAGAGGUUACCUCCACCUUGUGUGUGGGGGUGAACUCUCCACCAUGAGAGGACUUAGACCUCCAUUGUACUUUCAUCAAAUUAGUUUGUUUAACUAAUAAAACUAUUUUCCUCAUAUCUCAUGUACUUUAUCUUUCAAAUUAUUCUACCUUGACCCUUGUCCAUCCUCCAUAAAUUAUACCAUACACUUGCACACAUCACAAACCAAAAACUAUAACUAAUAUCAAAAUCAUGCUUCCGCACGCACACAAAUCCAAAAAUUUUUAACAGCAUCAUGUUAUAGUUAAUCCACUUCUAACAUAUAUCAACAUACUCGACACUCUCAAUCGUUCUAUUUUGAUUGGUUAGGUCAUACAAGACACCUCUUGAAGCCUUUUCGUGGAAUAAGUACACUAAUGGUGCCAUAAGUUGUGUACGGUGCUCACUUUAGUGCCAUAAGUUGUGUACGGUGCUCACUUUAGUGCCAAAAGUUUCCGCCGGAUCACUUAAGUGCCAAAUCGGAGAAAAAACAAUCACUUUGGUGCCACCAACGAAAAAUUCCGGCCAAAAUGAUUACGUGGCAUUUAUAUUUAAAAAAAAAAAAAAAGUUGCUCAGCUUUUAAACGACGUCGUUUUUCAUCCUCUUCAAGAAAUGACGUCGUUUUGCCCUUAUACGUGGACACCCUCGCAAAAAUGAUGCCGUUUAGCUCAUACGUGGAUUGAAAUUAGGGUUAGGGUUUCUUCCUCGCCACUUGGCCACCGUUGUUCACCCGCCAAUGCUCGGCCACCGUCACUUGGCCACCAUUGUAAAUGCUCGAUCAGGUGAGAGGAGAGAAUGAGAUUGUUGCUCAAGCAAAAAGUGGCAGAAAGAAUAGGAGGCGAGAGCAGAGGCGGAGGAGGAAGAAGAGGGGUCGAAGGUGCUGCUACUGGUGCGUCGCCGCCGCCGCCACCGCCGUCGUUGGUGCCGUUGUUGGUGCUAUUACUGGUGUGCUGCUGGUGUUGCUACUGGUGCCGUUCGCUACUGGUGUUGCUCUUCAGGGAAGAAGACGACGUGCCUCCUCUCUCUCCCUCUCUCUCUCUCUCUCUCUCUCUCUCUCUCUCUCUUUCAAUUUGGGGAUUUAGGGUUUCGAUUUGGGGGAAAGAAGCCAAACGACGUCGUUUUUGUGGUUUAGAUGCUAAUUGUGCUCUCCGGCAAGCCACGUCGGAUUUCCGGCUGAUCAGAUCGGCGUUGGCACCAAAGUGAGCGUUUUUCAAAUUUUUUGGCACUUAAGUGAUCCGACGGAAACUUUUGGCACCAAAGUGAGCGCCGUACACAACUUAUGGCACAAUUAGUGUACUUAUCCCCCUUUUCAUAGGGCAGUUUCAUCAAGGUUCCUCCCAAUAAAGACAAGCUUGUUUAUUCUCUUCUCAUCAGGACCCCAUACGUUUCCCAGACAGCCAUCCAAUGUUGAAUGAACACCUUGAAAGGGAGGCAAUUUUUGAAGUAACAUAAGAUGAGGAUUUAAACCAAAAUGGCUAGAAAGAAGUUCAUAAAUAUAAAUAGUGGAACCUGGAAUACGUAUCAUUGCUCAUAACCAAUCACAGAUAGUACACCCUUCAUUCUAUACAAGUCCUCCCCUUUUUCUUCAGUCAGUCUCUCAAACCAAUCAUCAACCUAAUCCAUGGACAUUGCAUAAGAGAGACAUGUUUAAACAGAUAUCAUCACAGUUGAGCAAAAGCAAACUGCAAGUGCUAGAAUACAGACAACAUAUAGAAUGCAAAUUCCCAUGCAUAUUACUAGCCCAAUGACAAAUAUAGAGACUUACGCAAAUUCAAAGGUCUCGUCAUAAACCAAGAGAUAAAGAUUAUAUCUCAGACACAGAUAAGGAAACGUGCCUUAUCAACCUUUUUAAGACCACUGGUCAGUAUUUGAAUUUCACAUAUUUAAGCACCAAAUGUGAGAUGUAAAAGUACAUUCUUAGUUUUACCAGUGCACCCACACUUUACUGAACAACAAAUCAUCAAGCGUUAAAGAGCUUGCAUAAGCCAAGCUGCCAAUGUUCAUUCAUCCCAACUAGAAAUAGUGUAGGUAAGACACUCAUUAGGCCUCUGAAACUCAUCAUUUUGCCUUCAUAGAUAGUAAAAGGGUAUAAAUGGGAGACAGGCUACAUAGAUCAGGAAGAGCUGAAGUAUAAAUUUAAAUUUAUACCCAACCCCAAGGCAGAAACUUUCAAAACAAUUGUCUCACUUGUCUCCUCACAAUGCUUCUCCUUAAGGUUAUCUGCUUUCACUACGUUUGACGACUGCAGUAGAAUUUUUCCACCAAGGAAUUUUUCGUGCACUGGGGCUAAAGUAGUGAAUACAAAUAUCAGUAGCAGUCGCGCCAAAAAAAUAAAUAAAUAAAUAAAAAUAGUACAACAUGUCAUGAAAAUUUAUCAAAAAACACAGUUGUCAUGCAUUCUCAAUGGAGCUAGUGAGCCUACUGCACCCACUGCUUGCUUUUCGCAGCCAAAUGGCGAUGGGCUGGGCUGGCACUUUGGCUUAUCAGAUCAAGGUGACAAAAUUUGAAGCUGUGGCUCUCUAUACCAUUACAGAUACGCUGACCAGACCGCACUACACCUCAUGGCACCCAUAGUUACGAGAAGCUCAGAGCUAGUCCAUAGACUCUCAAAGUGAAUGACCAUUCAAAAUCAUGGCUUCAUAUCUUAUAGUGAAACUCUUGUCCCUCAUAUAUUACUCCUUGACAACAGCAAUACCACAACUAAUAUACAAGAAGACGCACCACUGCAUGCAUAUACUUCUCAUAGACUCAUACAUGCACCACACUGAAAUGAAAGAGGAGCAAGACUUCUGCGAACAAUUCCUCCCCAAAAUAUUAUUCACUUUCCCAUAAUUAAAGCCUCCAGGGUACAGAAUAAACUAACAUCCAAUUGGCACAUCUUUUCACUGGGAAACCAAUUGAAUCAAAAUAUAGCACAUAUACCACCAUGGGUGAUCGAAAUUAAAGCAACAAGAUCUAAAACAACCACGUAAAUUUACCUCAUCAAGAUCCAGUGUACCCUCAGAAAAUACUGAUGCUGGAAACUGCAGAAUCAUGCACAUGAUCAUGAUGAUGAUGAUGAUGGUGAUGAUGCCCUUUCUGCCUUUUUGCAUUACCUACACAUGCUGGGAAAUUCAGUCAUCACAGGUAACAAAACUACAUAGAAUUAAUCGCGAUACGAGAAUGUUGGAAAUUUUCUAUAAUGUGGGCUUACAUUAAUUAAUUAGUUUUCUAUUUUAAAUAAUCGGGUUAAUGGAUAUUCCAAUAUUUGUUGAACCCUAAAAUGAUAUGAUUGAAUUGGGUAUUGGCCUCUAUUGAUAAUGGGCCUGGUUGAGCAGCAAAGUAUCGGCAAUUAUUUUUUACUGAAGCCCAUAAUGGGAAUGGCCCAAUUGACACGCCGUUGAUUAGAGUUUGCUAGAUCUCCUCUCUAGCCUAUAAAAGGAUAGGUUAUACCUAUCGAUUGCUUUAAUCCCAUUGAAAGCUGUUAUACUGAAAUAAGUCAUAGAGAGAAAAAUCUGACAUUCUGAUAGAUCUCUAAUUAUGAGAGUGAUCUAUUUUUCUUCAAGUAAAGUAAUGGCUUAAACAGAUACACUUUAAUUUCACUAUGUUUAUUGAUCUCGGUGUUUUACAAUCAUAUAUGGAUCCGUUUCUUCUUGAUUGAUUAGUUGUUUAUGUAAAUGAUUUUCUACAGAGAAGACAAAAGCAAAAGAAGUUUUGUACACAUUACCAUGCCCAUGUUGAUGUGCACUACAGGAUGAGUCAUCUCCAUGAACUUCAGAAUCGAUUCUACUGAGGUAACUGACAGGUUAGAACAUGACACCAUGCUGUGCUGCUAAACUUCCAUUUAAUUUAUAGCCAGUCAUAUAUAUUGUAGAAAUAACUACCUGUCCAGAUCAUAACCUCCCACUCCCAAAACAAAAUCCAUGUCGACGCUUCUAUAUUUUUGCACGAUAAUUUAAGAUAGAGUUUCCUUAAUAGAUUAGAUUUGCAUGUUUAGGUAAUCUCACUUGAAUCGGACUUGGCUCGCAAUACUUACGCUCCCUCUUUCUAUUUGGUUUUAGUAAUAGACGGUCCAAGGGAAAAGUGCCAAAAAAGUCAUAAACCUUUUGUCUUUGUGCCGAUUUAGUCCUAAACCUUUUUUUGGGGCCGAUUUAGUCCUAAACCUUUGUACAUUGUGCCAAUUCAGUCCUUUCCGGCCAAUUUUGGCCGGAUUUUGCUGACUGGACGAUGAUCGGCUGACGUGGCCUGAUCGGCGCUGACGUGGGCACAUUUUAAUAAUAUUUUAAUAUUUUUGAAUUUUUUUCUUUUUUGAAUUUUCUUUUUCUUUUUCUCUUUUUCUUUUUUUUUUUCUCCUCUUCUUCCUCCAGCCGGUCACCGGACGCGACCGGCCAAAGGCGACGGCCGGCAAGGGCGAGGCCACCCUCGCCGGCCACCUCGCGGGCAAGGGCGAGCCCACCCUCACCAGCCACCUCGCGGGCGAGGGUCGAGCCUCGCACUGGGCGGUGAGGCGAGAGGUCGAGCCUCCAGCCUCACCGGCCAUGGGCAAGCCUCGCCCUCGCCGGAUCUGGCGAGGUUGAGCCCCGCCGGCCGCCCUCGCCGGAUCUAGCGAGGUCUAGCCUCGCCGGCCAUGGGCGAGGCUCGACCCUCGCCGGAUCUGGAGAGGCUCGAGCCUCGCCGGCUGGCGAGGUGGGAGGCCCGAGAGCGAGAUCCAAACUGUGAGAGAGAAAAAAAGCUCUGGGCGAGGGCAGAUCCGAAGGGAGAGGGAGACCCCAGCCGCGUGAGGCCUCCGCUGCCCGACGCCUUCUGUUGUUGCCGCGGCCUCACCUGUUGCCUCCCCGUCGACCAGCCGCGAGCCCUGCCGUGCUGAGCUCGCUGCUGCCGUUACCCCAAUGCAGAUUUGCCGCCGUUCUUACGCCCAGAGCCCAACGCAAGCUGUCGUUGUUCCUCCCCGACGUUGGGUGCGCCGUCCUACCUGCCGCCCAGCGCGAGGCUCGCCAGAUCUGGCGAGGGCGAGCCUCGCCGCCCAGCGCGAGGCUCGACCCUCGCCCGCAAGGUGGCCGGCGGGCAGUCGCCUCUGGCCGGUCGCCGAGGUCCGGCAACCAGCCAGAAGAAGAAGAGGAGAAGAAAAAAAGAAAAAGAAAAAGAAAAACAGAAAACGAAAAAAAAAAAGAAAAAAAAUUCAAAAAUAUUAAAAUAUUAUUAAAAUGUGUCUACGUCAGCGCCGAUCAGGCCACGUCAGCCGGUCGGCGUCCAGUCAGCAAAAUCCGGCCAAAAUUGGCCAGAAAGGACUGAAAUGGCACAACGUACAAAGGUUUAGGACUAAAUCGGCACUAAAAAAAAGUUUAGGACUAAAUCGGCACAAAGACAAAAGGUUUAACACAGACGCACGAACAUACGGAAACACUCGAUUAAGCUUGCGAGCCAAUUGAAUCGAACUUCGUUAGGCUCGAACUCAGCUCAACAAGUUACUCGAGCUGCUUGAAAUCAAGUCGAGCUCAAAGAAAUCGAGCCGAUCUCGAGUAGAUCUCGAGUAAGGGAAAAAGUCCAGCACGAGGAGCAGGACUCUACCACAGUCUACGGAGACUAAUCAAUGCAACUUUGAAAUCGGGGAAGAUGGAGAAGAAGCUUCCCAGCUUAGGCCGGAAGUUCAACGCCCCCGCAUGGUGAAAUACCUGAAAUGGAAACACUCAAUUAAGCUUGCAAGCCGAUCGAAUCGAACUUUGUUAGGCUCGAACUCAGCUCGACAAGUUACUCGAGCUGCUUGAAAUCAAGUCGAGCUCAAAGAAAUCGAGCCGAUCUCGAGUAGAUCUCGAGUAAGGGAAAAAGUCCAGCACGAGGAGCA
This 19859-nucleotide long non-coding RNA is filed under the name Eucalyptus grandis. RNAcentral describes it as "long non-coding RNA (EGRA_LNC002664)". The record is from RNAcentral. Lineage: Eukaryota; Viridiplantae; Streptophyta; Magnoliopsida; Myrtales; Myrtaceae.